GGGAUGGCUCAGCAUAGUUAAGAGCACUGACUGCUAUUCCAGAGGACCUGGGUUCAAGUCCCAGCACCCA
This 70-nucleotide transfer RNA is filed under the name Mesocricetus auratus (golden hamster). It matches the Rfam family "tRNA". Rfam says of the family: Transfer RNA (tRNA) molecules are approximately 80 nucleotides in length. Their secondary structure includes four short double-helical elements and three loops (D, anti-codon, and T loops). The record is from Rfam by way of RNAcentral. Lineage: Eukaryota; Metazoa; Chordata; Mammalia; Rodentia; Cricetidae.